UGCAUAUCAAAAAAGCGGAGGAAAAGAAACCAACAGGGAUUGCCUCAGUAACGGCGAGUGAAGCGGCAACAGCUCAAAUUUGAAAUCUGGCCUCUUGGGGUCCGAGUUGUAAUUUGUAGAGGAUGUUUCGGGUACCGCCUCGGUUUAAAUUUCUUGGAACAGAAUGUCAAAGAGGGUGAGAAUCCCGUCUUGGACCGGCGGUAGGGCCUAUGUGAAACUCCUUCGACGAGUCGAGUUGUUUGGGAAUGCAGCUCAAAAUGGGUGGUAAAUUUCAUCUAAAGCUAAAUAUUGGCCAGAGACCGAUAGCGCACAAGUAGAGUGAUCGAAAGAUGAAAAGCACUUUGAAAAGAGAGUUAAACAGUAUGUGAAAUUGUUGAAAGGGAAGCGCUUGCAACCAGACUUGAGCGCGGCGGUUCCCCCUUGCUUCUGCUUGGGUUACUCCGCCGUGUCCAGGCCAACAUCGGUUCUGGGGGUCGGUCAAAGGCUCUGGGAAUGUAUCUACCCACGGGUAGACUUAUAGACCAGGGUGUCAUGCGACCUCCCGGGACCGAGGAGCGCGCUUCGGCUCGGAUGUUGGCGUAAUGGUUGUCAGCGACCCGUCUUGAACCACGGACCAAAAA
RNAcentral lists this ribosomal RNA (620 nucleotides) under Fonsecaea pedrosoi. RNAcentral's name for it is "LSU rRNA". It matches the Rfam family "Eukaryotic large subunit ribosomal RNA", at positions 37 to 672 of the family's 3401-position model. Lineage: Eukaryota; Fungi; Ascomycota; Eurotiomycetes; Chaetothyriales; Herpotrichiellaceae. The record is from RNAcentral.